AAUGAACGCUGGCGGCAGGCCUAACACAUGCAAGUCGAACGAGGCAGCAAUGCCUAGUGGCGGACGGGUGAGUAACGCGUGGGAACGUGCCCCUUGGUACGGAAUAGCCCUGGGAAACUGGGAGUAAUACCGUAUGUGGUCGAGAGACGAAAGAUUUAUCGCCAAGGGAUCGGCCCGCGUUGAAUUAGGUAGUUGGUGGGGUAAUGGCCUACCAAGCCGACGAUCCAUAGCUGGUUUGAGAGGAUGAUCAGCCACACUGGGACUGAGACACGGCCCAGACUCCUCCGGGAGGCAGCAGUGGGGAAUCUUAGACAAUGGGGGAAACCCUGAUCUAGCCAUGCCGCGUGAUAGAUGAAGGCCUUAGGGUUGUAAAGAUCUUUCAGUGGGGAAGAUAAUGACGGUACCCACAGAAGAAGCCCCGGCUAAUUCCGUGCCAGCAGCCGCCGUAA
RNAcentral lists this ribosomal RNA (449 nucleotides) under uncultured bacterium. Its description in RNAcentral is "partial 16S ribosomal RNA". It matches the Rfam family "Bacterial small subunit ribosomal RNA", at positions 29 to 523 of the family's 1533-position model. The record is from RNAcentral.